UUUCUGAGAGAAAUAUCUUAAAAAAAAUUCUGACCGUUUUUAUUUCUACAAACCUAGCUACCGGACCAUCAUUUCUAAUACAGGAACAAGACUUCUUGAGGAACAUCACUAUGAUUGAACAACCAGCCCAGAACCAAUCAGGGUGUUCCGCUGCAUUGGUGCAAACGCCUGAUACUCUGCAUAUUGACCUGCCACAUGUUGAUCCAAAGGAAGUCUGUUUUACAAUCAACAAAUGUUUGAUACAAAUUACCACAAAGCAUUGGGAGUUAAUGACAAAUGGCUUGGUGAGCUGUGUGACGACAGCUGGGCUGGCCAAUUCUUGCAUGGAUAUCAUCCAGAUCUUUGCAGAGGCUAUUGUGGAUGUCGUAAUGCCACAGGUCUACAGAUACAUGAGAAACUACGGCACCUUUUCUCCAUCUGUCCUCGGCCUAACUGAGGACCGAAUCCACAUCUACCUGGGGGAUUCUAUUGAACAGGCGCUGGCUAAUGCCCUGAAGAUCAAAGUCCAGAAUUUUGUGGCCACUAAGGAAUUCUCCAAGUCACUUUUGAGACACAUUUCAAAGACCGUCAACUCAGUCUUGGCUUUGUUCACUCAGACUCCCGCCCUGGAGUCUAGACUUCCUGUGAUUUUUGUCAGUGGCUGUGUGACUUCCAUUGGAGAACUUACAGAUAUGGUUCGUCAGUUUGCCACCAUACUGACAGGAGCCUUCGAAGCUCAGCAGCAAGCUCAAAAGAUGACUGAAGAUCAGCGGAGCCAGACUGCAUUGUAUGAACCAGGCAGAGAAGUGGAGCCCCCUAUAUUCAAUUUAAAUUCCAAAAGUGACUUAAAGAAAUUGGUGAAGACUUACAUCAUUCGCAUGCUGAAAGUCCUAAAAAACACUCAAAUGUCAAACUGUGAAAUGAGCCCUAGCAACCAUGGAGAUGUUUGUAUUAGAGUUGGCUCAAAGACACACAUUUUGACUGUGGAAGACAGGAAAUUAGAUAGACAAGAGUCUGCCAUGUCCUCCUAUUGUGGUUUGGAUUCCAUACCAGGUGCUGUGCCUGACACCAACGACACAGAGUCCCAUUCUGAUAGGUGUCCCUUCAGUUCAAUUACAGUAAUUUCUAAAACGGAGGACCAUUCUUCUCGUUUAAGUCCCAUAGAGAUGGAAUCUAUCAAGAAUAUAGCUGACGAACUGGUACAAGAUUUUUUGGAAGUAGAUCUGCAGGGGGCAGUGCAGACAGACAGUUGGCUGGAGGUCGUUAAACUAAGGGAACUCACAGACAGAACCUUUAAUGUGGUAAUGACUGGACGUGACUACCAGAUUCCGUUAGUGCCAGCCGGAACUCGCAUUUGUGACACUGUGAUCUAUAGAAACCUGAGGCGAAAGGGUGUCACCGACUCAGGCAUUGUUGCUCAUGCCCUUUACCUGAGGACAGCAGAGGUUGUUACUCGUUGUGCUGUGCAGGUUCUCCUUUGGUCAGAACUACACUCAGAGAAGUCUUAUUAUCCAUCUCCACUCGCUUUCGAACAAUUGUCUGUAGAUCCUGACUUUGUGUUUGUAGGACAUGCAGCAGGGGACCAUUUAGAAGUAGUGCCUGUAACUCCUUCUCCUAACAUUGCUCCAGUGUUGAGUCAAGAAAAUAUCGUCACAUAUGAAGUUAUCCCUGAGCCGCUUGAGCUAAUGCAGGCACAGUUGCUGGGAGGCAAUUUUCAUGCAUCCCUGUUGACUCUGCUGGUUCGUGAGAUGCUUAUUGUCAUCGGUAUUGAAAACAGUGAAAUGAUUAGUGAGGUUGUAAAGAAAGUGAUUCAACAGAUUCAAGAUGUGGACCCUAUGCUGUACAACCACUUCUAUGACACCUUGAUGGGUCGGAGUUUCAAAGACAUUUACCAAGCUGGCAUUAGCGACCUCCAGCUGGAGUUUGGUUCAGUAGAUGAACUGAAAGAGGUCAUAAAAUCAGGGGAUCCCACUUUUGAGGAGGCUAUUGUGAGAGCACUGAGGACACAGCUGGGAAUGCCUACAUAUCCAGAACCUCAUCGGAACACAGCCAAGAAAACAACCUGUGGUUUCUUCAAGAAGUUAAAAAAACUGUGCAGCAAAAAGAAGAAGCCUGGCAAGACUACACCUGUCAUCUCUCUGACCAGGGACCAGGACAGGAGCCAGCUACAGGAAGAAACGUUGAAAGACCAAACAGAGCAACGGCAAUGUCCACCCAUGAGCAGGAUAGCUGCCUCCACAAAAAAGAUGUUUUCCUCAAUUGCUAGAGCACUGGGCAGACCAUUUGUGGCUUGCAUCUGCCCAGAGAGCCAAUAAAGCUUCAGCACAGAGUGGACUUUGGAUCUAGACGUGGUUACAGGAAUGUGAAGUUCCACCCAACCUCCUGCUUACUGAAAGCAAUUAUCCACUAGACUACAGCCAACUGAAGGAGAGUAGCCACUGAAAGACGAAUGGAUGAGAGGAGUCCUAGGCCGCCAGGAGAAGAGCCUCUGUAAAUUGACUGGAG
Molecule: RNA transcript, 2484 nt
Organism: Perca flavescens (yellow perch)
Lineage: Eukaryota; Metazoa; Chordata; Actinopteri; Perciformes; Percidae
Exons: 5
Source: RefSeq, a predicted model, not a curated record